UGAACGGAGGGGGCAAAUUCGUAAAACAGAUAAGCGUCGCUUCGUGUAGGGUUUAGGCGGAAGACAGAGACCCUGUCACCACUCUCAUCUCAUCACACUCACUUACACCGUUACUCUUUAACAGCUUCUUCCAUUCCCUCAUCCAAUUCAAUGCGAUGUUGAGAAACAAAACUUACCACUAACUUCCUCAGCAACCAUUAACAAUGAGGUUCUAUUCCCGCUUCAAACACUUAUCCCAUCUCCUUCAAACCCUAACUCCACAUCAAAACCCUCCCUUUGCUUCCGCCCGGAUCUCGAUCUCACCCAACGCGCAACCCCUACCACGACCCUCCUACGCGCGUGGCUACUGCGUCGCGUCGCAGUCGCACACUUCGGAGAAGGUAUCGGCGAUCGUAGACGAAGUGAUGGGACUCACAUUAUUGGAGGUGAUGGACCUGGUGGAGGUGAUGCGCGAAAAGCGCGGUGUCAACGAGCUUCCGAUCAUGAUGCUGAUGAUGCCGGGAAUGGAGGUGCGGGGCUUGCCGAGGGGUGCGCCCAAGGGUGGCGGCGGCGGAGAGGGUGGAGAGGUGAAGGUGGCGGAGAAGACGGCGUUUGAUUUGAAGCUUGAGGGUUUCGAUGCGGCGGGGAAGAUCAAGGUGAUUAAGGAGGUGAGGACCUUCACAAGUUUGGGGUUGAAGGAAGCUAAGGAUUUAGUGGAGAAGGUGCCUGCGGUGUUGAAGACAGGAGUCACGAAAGAAGAGGCUGAGAGUAUCAUUGCCAAGAUGAAGGCAGUUGGCGCAAAGGUUUCCAUGGAAUAAUGAGAUUGGGAUGUUGUUAUCAUAUAACCCAACCAUAGCAUCUGGGAUCAAAGAAAAAGAAAAUUUUCCAGCCAUAGUCUUGACAACAACCAAAGUUUGAAGCUCCUAGGUUCAAUGGGAUUACUUAUCCCUCCUUUAGACAACUUACUGAAAAGACAAGACGACGUACAAAACAUGGGGUAGAGUAUUUUUUGCUUCGGUCAGGUGUCGCAGCUUAUUCCUCACAUUCAAGUUCUCGGCAGGUGAUGGGAGUCAAUUAAUGCGUUGUUACAAUGCGAAACUGCUAUCUCUUGUAUUUGAAAACUUUGCCGAGCACAGUAUGCUCCCACCUCACUGCCUUUUUUUUUUUAUUGAUUUCUGCUUUACAUAAGGCACAUUUUACCUUGAAUUUUUUUUUUAUCAUUUCUUAACCAAUGUUGUAGAAUUGGUUUAUGACAAUGGAUCAUUUUUUAACCAACAUAUACAUGCUACUUGAUGUUGAAGUUGUAGAUCCAAUUGAUUUUCAACUGAACUACCAUGACCGCGCAAUCAUGUGUAAUGGACACUAGAAUUGCUAUCUAUUGGUUGUGUACAGUAUAACGGUUUGUGGUAUUGACUCUA
RNA transcript from Vigna radiata var. radiata (mung bean), 1397 nucleotides. It is a transcript of the gene named 50S ribosomal protein L7/L12, with no coding region annotated. The record is from RefSeq and is a predicted model, not a curated record. Lineage: Eukaryota; Viridiplantae; Streptophyta; Magnoliopsida; Fabales; Fabaceae. The transcript has 4 exons.